This 883-nucleotide ribosomal RNA is filed under the name Lepra amara. Its description in RNAcentral is "LSU rRNA". It matches the Rfam family "Eukaryotic large subunit ribosomal RNA", at positions 39 to 931 of the family's 3401-position model. The record is from RNAcentral. Lineage: Eukaryota; Fungi; Ascomycota; Lecanoromycetes; Pertusariales; Pertusariaceae.
CAUAUCAAUAGCGGAGSAAAGAAACCAACAGGGAUUGCCUCAGUAACGGNGAGUGAAGCGGCAACAGCUCAAANUUGAAAUCUGACCCCGUCGCCGGGGCCCCAGUUGUAAUUUGGAGAGGGUGCCUUCGGGCGCGGCGCCGGCCUAAGUCCCUUGGAACAGGGCGUCCUAGAGGGUGAGAAUCCCGUCUGCGGCCGGCCGCCUACCCCGUGUGAAGCCCCUUCGACGAGUCGAGUUGUUUGGGAAUGCAGCUCAAAAUGGGUGGUAAAUUUCAUCUAAAGCUAAAUACCGGCCAGAGACCGAUAGCGCACAAGUAGAGUGAUCGAAAGAUGAAAAGCACUUUGGAAAGAGAGUUAAACAGUACGUGAAAUUGUUGAAAGGGAAGCGCUUGCGACCAGACUUGCCCGCGGGGGAUCCGCCUCCCCUCGGGGGGGUGCACUCCCCCGCGGUCAGGCCAGCAUCGGUUCGGGCGGCCGGACAAAGGUCCCGGGAACGUGGCUCCCUCCGGGGAGUGUUAUAGCCCGGGGCGCCAUGCGGCCAGCCCGGACCGAGGACCGCGCUUCGGCUAGGAUGCUGGCGUAAUGGUCGUCAGCGACCCGUCUUGAAACACGGACCAAGGAGUCUAACAUCUGUGCGAGUGUUUGGGUGUCAAGCCCAGGCGCGGAAUGAAAGUGAACGGAGGUGGGAGCCCCCUCCCGGGGGGGGCGCACCAUCGACCGAUCCUGAUGUCUUCGGAUGGAUUUGAGUAGGAGCACAGCUGUUGGGACCCGAAAGAUGGUGAACUAUGCCUGAAUAGGGUGAAGCCAGAGGAAACUCUGGUGGAGGCUCGCAGCGGUUCUGACGUGCAAAUCGAUCGUCAAAUUUGGGUAUAGGGGCGAAAGAC